GAGUGAACGCUGGCGGUAGGCCUAACACAUGCAAGUCGAACGGCAGCACAGUAAGAGCUUGCUCUUACGGGUGGCGAGUGGCGGACGGGUGAGGAAUACAUCGGAAUCUACUUUUUCGUGGGGGAUAACGUAGGGAAACUUACGCUAAUACCGCAUACGACCUACGGGUGAAAGCAGGGGAUCUUCGGACCUUGCGCGAUUGAAUGAGCCGAUGUCGGAUUAGCUAGUUGGCGGGGUAAAGGCCCACCAAGGCGACGAUCCGUAGCUGGUCUGAGAGGAUGAUCAGCCACACUGGAACUGAGACGCGGUCCAGACUCCUACGGGAGGCAGCAGUGGGGAAUAUUGGACAAUGGGCGCAAGCCUGAUCCAGCCAUACCGCGUGGGUGAAGAAGGCCUUCGGGUUGUAAAGCCCUUUUGUUGGGAAAGAAAAGCAGCAGGUUAAUACCCCGCUGUUCUGACGGUACCCAAAGAAUAAGCACCGGCUAACUUCGUG
RNAcentral lists this ribosomal RNA (493 nucleotides) under uncultured bacterium. Its description in RNAcentral is "partial 16S ribosomal RNA". It matches the Rfam family "Bacterial small subunit ribosomal RNA", at positions 27 to 507 of the family's 1533-position model. The record is from RNAcentral.